RNAcentral lists this unclassified non-coding RNA (2312 nucleotides) under Helicoverpa zea (corn earworm). RNAcentral describes it as "oocyte zinc finger protein XlCOF26-like, transcript variant X1". Lineage: Eukaryota; Metazoa; Arthropoda; Insecta; Lepidoptera; Noctuidae. The record is from RNAcentral.
GACAGUACAGUUGUGAAUUUGAUGUUUUGCUUUGGCUUUGCUUCACUGCUUUUUUCUGCUGUUCAAAUUAAUGAUUGUUACAAAGCAGAAUGUUCCUAGCAAGGGUAGUUUAAAUAAGUUUAAUGUAUUACAUAUAACGAGUUUGCCAUUCCACCUUAGUUGACUAGUGAAGAAACUGUUCAAGAAGUUAAUUCUUCUUGGCUACUGUGCAUAUAGUUACACAGGUUUUUGUAGGGAUUUUAAGCGGCAGGAUAUGACAAUAUUACAAUUAAGUAUUAUUUAAGUUGAGACUAAGUUUGAAAGUGAGUUAAGCACUAUGGAAGAACCACAACAAAAGAAACUGUAUUAUUGUUCAUAUGAAGGCUGCGCGUCUUAUUUCGAUAGGCCUUAUAGACUGGCACAACAUUUUCUAGCUCACAAUAACAUUAGACCUUUCCCGUGUAAAGCACCUAAUUGCAACAAAGCAUAUACAAGUAAAAGUCAUUUGGAUCGACACAUAUCUUCGGUACAUUUGCCCCAUGAAAAUGAUGUUGUUUACAGCUGUCCACAAUGUUUGAAAUCAUUUGCAAAUCGACAGAAUCUCAAAAGGCAUAUGAACACAGUACACUUGGUGGAGUUUAUUUGCGAUAUUUGCAAAUUGGCCUUCAAGAAGAAAAAUCAAUUGAGUGCUCACAUGUAUGAACACACAGGCCUGAAAGCUUUCAAGUGUGAUCUAUGCUCGGAUACAUUUAUAAGUUUGUACUUGAAGAAGAGACACAUGAGAUACCAUAAAACAUACACUUGUGAAGAAUGCAAUGUAGUUUUUAAUCAUUGGUCAAAGUACCAGAAACAUAAGAAAACUGAACAUGUUUCAAGUUACUCUUCAACUCCUCGACAUCUAAAGUCAUUUAAAUCGUUAAUUGAGAGCAAUGUCACUGUUAUCCAACCAAGGUUUAGUUUAUGGGCCCCAGGUGGAGCCGAAUUGCGGUUAAUGCAGUCACCUUCGGCCGAAGACGACGCCGAAGUGUUUAUCUGUAAUGUAUGCAAAAAGACCUUUAAGGAAAAAGGUCAUAUGGUGAAGCACCUCAAAACACAUGGACAAAAGAGAAUUACUAAAACAUUCCCAUGCCCUUAUGAUGAUUGUUCUAGAUUUUAUUCAAGAAAAAGCAAUUUAAAACAACAUAUAUUAGUAAAACACAUGAAGAUCCUCCAUGAAUGCAUGAUAUGCCAUGCACAGUUAUCGACAAAGGCAAAAUUGAAUUAUCACAUCCAAUUACACUACAGAGAAGGUGGAAUACCAAUAGCAAAACCUAAAACUGAGAAAAACAAAGAGAGGAAACCACGAAAAGAUGAAGGAAGUUUCAAAUUUUCAACAGCUCUGAAACUAUCUGGCUUAAACGAUGUUCCUGAGGAAACAGACUCGGCCGCAGAGUCUACGGAAUCACCCAUCAAUUUGUCAGUAAAAUCUGAACACAUUGAAGUAGAAGUUGAUGUCCUUAUUUAAACUGUUUAAGUUAGAUGAAAUGACAAGUCCUAGUAAACAUGCAUCUAAAAGUGUGCUUUAUAAAAAGAUUAGAUUAAUAUUGAUACCAGUGUGCAUAUAUGAACAAACAAAGUGAAAAUUUUAGGAGAAUUGGAAUCGCUGAUGAUGAUUGCAACAUCUUUAGUAUGUUCAUGAAUGCAGAUUGACCAAAAUAUAGUCUACUACUAUACUAUACUUUUAUAUGCACUUGUAUCAAAGCUUAACUAGUUUGUUACUAAAUGGGGCAUACAUCACUUUGUUUUUGCUAAACAAAAAUGGAGAUAUACAAACUAGUUUCCUGUUACAUGUAAAUAUGAUUUUAGUGAGAGAUCACAUAACUAAAUAAAAUAAUAUUUAUUUAAAUAUGUUUAUGUAUACAAUGACAAUUUUACUUACUUGACAUAUAUAUAUUAUUUUUAAGUAGAUGUAAUGGUACUCAACAUUUCCUAUUAUUAUAAGUACAAUAUUAGAUCUUCAGAUAUUUUGAAAAUAACAUGUAUUAUAGGUAUACUACAUAUUACAUUUAUUUAAUUUUGUAAAAUAUUGUAGUAGCAAAGACCUAAUCAAAAAUUAUGUUAGGUAAGCAGUUAAAAUCCUUGUUAAGCCAAUUUUUAAUUAUUGAUUUUAACUUUUCCACCAGGUAUUCAGAGGCUUAGACAGAAUCUCCAAACUCAUAAUUGACUUCAAAUACAUUUUAGAAAUCAUAUUCUAUCAUUCAUGCUGGCAUGGUGAUUUUGGGCUGAAAAAUAGUGUGAAACAAUUUUAUAUUAUCAGUGAGAUAUUAGAAAAUAAAAAGUAUAGUCCAAUUAAA